This is a long non-coding RNA of Oxyura jamaicensis (ruddy duck), 197 nucleotides long. RefSeq lists it as uncharacterized. The transcript is spliced from 2 exons. NCBI's taxonomy places the organism in Eukaryota, Metazoa, Chordata, Aves, Anseriformes, Anatidae. The record is from RefSeq and is a predicted model, not a curated record.
GUUUGAAGAGGAAACAGUGAAUAAGAAUAGCACAAGAAGAUAAACAGCUACUUGAAAACAAAGUUUUCCAGCUCCCUUCCUAAUGCAAAACUUAACAGCAAUGUGCAGUUGAAGGCAAUGUGGCUGUGACAGGUGUCUCCAGAUGUUAUGAAGAACUAGCGCAAAGGAGAUGAUCUAUUUGACAGGCAGAACAUGAG